RNAcentral lists this long non-coding RNA (825 nucleotides) under Pongo abelii (Sumatran orangutan). RNAcentral's name for it is "lincRNA". Lineage: Eukaryota; Metazoa; Chordata; Mammalia; Primates; Hominidae. The record is from RNAcentral.
GCGGGCAGCCGCCAGGGCGAGGCGAUCCGGUGCGGGGGCACUCCCAUGGAGCGCGGACUCCUAAGGAAGUCGCUGGGAGUCCCACCGGCUGCACCGCAGGGCGUUAGUACCUAGAUGGCUUCGGUGCCCCCAAACGAUGGGCUCAAGCUACAGGGCAGGCUUUGCACCUGGCCUUCUCAGCUCUGAGGCAGGCAGUGGGCAGCCUCGCCUCCACCCUCCGUCCAGCGCCCUUCCCAUGGGGCCAUCCGCCUCUCCCUAAGGCACUAAAAACCAGUGGAGGAGUCAGGCCAUGUUGGCAAAAAGGCCCAGGGCAGCAGCCCCAGACCUAUAGUCCUAAAUAUCCAUGUACCCAGCCCUGGGGUCACGAGCCAUCUCAGGGACGACCCGAUUCCAGCGGAUGGAGAAGUUCCCUGAAAACACCUGCCUGGGAGGAGAGACUAGGGAACAGGAUUGGGUAACAGCUUGCAGCAUGAUAAUACCAUGCAGUGUGAGGGAGCUGCAUGCAGUGGAGCCGCAGGGGUUAGUCAGGCCUCGCCCCUAAAUCCGCCUCUUGAAUAAGGGUCAGUUUCAGCCAAACCUGUCUUUUCCAGUUCCCUGGAGGUCAGUCUGCACAGCCAAUCCCUGACAGUGCUUUACCAUGGAACUGAAACCAUGAAAACUGAAACUGCAAAUAGGAGAGACUGCUGUAUAGUCACUGAAAAAAUUUAAUGGAUGAGCUCAACAGCAAAUUAGACACAACUGAAACCUUGGACCCAUGUGUGGAAGACGACAGCAUCACCAACUGGAGGGUGCCUGGAUCCCUUAGUCACCACUUGCAGUGAAAAG